This 429-nucleotide ribosomal RNA is filed under the name Actinomycetes bacterium. RNAcentral describes it as "Actinobacteria bacterium partial 16S ribosomal RNA". It matches the Rfam family "Bacterial small subunit ribosomal RNA", at positions 355 to 776 of the family's 1533-position model. Lineage: Bacteria; Bacillati; Actinomycetota; Actinomycetes. The record is from RNAcentral.
UAGGGAAUCUUCCGCAAUGGGCGAAAGCCUGACGGAGCAACGCCGCGUGAGUGAUGAAGGUCUUCGGAUCGUAAAACUCUGUUAUUAGGGAAGAACAAAUGUGUAAGUAACUAUGCACGUCUUGACGGUACCUAAUCAGAAAGCCACGGCUAACUACGUGCCAGCAGCCGCGGUAAUACGUAGGUGGCAAGCGUUAUCCGGAAUUAUUGGGCGUAAAGCGCGCGUAGGCGGUUUUUUAAGUCUGAUGUGAAAGCCAACGGCUCAACCGUGGAGGGUCAUUGGAAACGGGAAAACUUGAGUGCAGAAGAGGAAAGUGGAAUUCCAUGUGUAGCGGUGAAAUGCGCAGAGAUAUGGAGGAACACCAGUGGCGAAGGCGACUUUCUGGUCUGUAACUGACGCUGAUGUGCGAAAGCGUGGGGAUCAAACAGG